UUACUCCUACGGGAGGCAGCAGUAAGGAAUAUUGGUCAAUGGACGCAAGUCUGAACCAGCCAUGCCGCGUGAAGGAUGAAGGUCCUCUGGAUUGUAAACUUCUUUUAUAUGGGAAGAAACCACUUUUUUCUAAAGGUGUUGACGGUACCAUAGGAAUAAGCACCGGCUAACUCCAUGCCAGCAGCCGCGGUAAUA
Molecule: ribosomal RNA, 195 nt
Filed under: uncultured soil bacterium
Lineage: Bacteria
Description: partial 16S ribosomal RNA
Rfam family: Bacterial small subunit ribosomal RNA
Source: RNAcentral